This 72-nucleotide transfer RNA is filed under the name Camelus bactrianus (Bactrian camel). It matches the Rfam family "tRNA". From Rfam's summary of the family: Transfer RNA (tRNA) molecules are approximately 80 nucleotides in length. Their secondary structure includes four short double-helical elements and three loops (D, anti-codon, and T loops). Lineage: Eukaryota; Metazoa; Chordata; Mammalia; Artiodactyla; Camelidae. RNAcentral also lists the same sequence under 1 other name. The record is from Rfam by way of RNAcentral.
GAGGAUAUAGCUCAGUGGUAGAGUGCUUGCCUAGCAUGCACAAAGUCGUGGGUUCAAUCUCCAGUACCUCCA